Long non-coding RNA from Apodemus sylvaticus (European woodmouse), 1296 nucleotides. RefSeq lists it as uncharacterized. The transcript is spliced from 4 exons. The record is from RefSeq and is a predicted model, not a curated record. Lineage: Eukaryota; Metazoa; Chordata; Mammalia; Rodentia; Muridae.
AGGAAGGGCGGUGCAGUUCUGACAGAGUGUGAGUGGUCCUAGGCAUGAGACCGUAGGAUGGAGGAGGGGCAGAAUAUCCCAUCACCUGUCAGAUACUUCUCCAGCCACCGUCUCAGGCAUCACGUCCCUGAGGAUGCUAGGGUCACCCUGCAUAUGGAGAGAGAACAACCCAUGCAGUCCAUGCAGAAGACCUUUUAUAUGAUCCUCAAGGCAGCCGCCAUUAGGUAUAAUGUGAUUGGCAGAACGGUGUUACCUUUAAACAGAUUGGUCUCUAGAGGAUGAGUUUCACCACCCCAACAAGCCUGCCAAUCUCAGCUGAUCUUGGAAACUAAGCGGGUGGAGCCUGGUUAGGACUUGGAUGGGAGACCACCUGGGAGUUCCUGGUGCUGUAGGUCUUGGAGAUGGCAUCAAAGGUGGCCUUGGCAGUCUGAUCAGAGAUGGCUCAACGUUUAAGAGCACUGACUGCUCUUCUGAAGGUCGUCAGUUCAAAUCCUAGCAACCACAUGGUGGCUCACAACCAUCAGUUACAGCUGUGCACCACACCCAGCCCAAGACUUCAGGGCUUCUGAAAGGUAAGGAUGGUACCUGGUGUCCAGCACCGAAGACUUGAAGACCCUGGGUGCUCAGUGAGAUGCCAUCCCACGCUGGCUCCCGUCCCACAGAUGGCAGGGUGCAGGGCAGGGUGCAGGGCAGGGUGCAGGGCAGGGUGCAGGGCAGGGUGCAGGGCAGGGUGCAGGGCAGGCAGGCAGGCAGCCUCAUCCUUUCCCUGUCUGCCUCUGAGCACUGGGUGUAUCGGCUCUGCUGGGAACAGCUCUGUGGACCCCCCACAGGCCCAGUCACAAAGCCAUAGCUCACUCUCCCCCUCGGCUCCCCCAGCCUUAAUUGGGCCAAUCUGUCCGCCUGACACCCUGCGUUCUGGUUCAUUUUCUUCACAAAGCCUCCUCUUGUCACUUGACAGAUUCUCAGCUGUCGUGGGCACAUUUUUCAAUGUGUGCUCUUCACAUAGUUCCCAACCAGGUUUCUGCUCUCCUUAAACCCACCGCACUUUAUAAUUUCUGAGUGAUCUUCCUCUCUGGCUAUUGCUCUUCUUCACGGCUCGAUACGACUUCCCCUUAAAAGCCACUGGGCCUUUGAGAGAUGCUGGGUGGGUUCACAGGGCCACGAUAGCAGCUACGUGGUGGACCAAUGUACUAAUCUGGUUCUUGCCCCAACUGGGCCCAAAGAUGUAGCUUGGGGUAAUCAUCUAUUUGGUAAGCAAUCCUGGAAGAAGAGGAUAUACAGGUAAUACAGAGAGAC